AGAGGAGAGUGGGAGGUCCCCUUCCUCCCUCACCGCUCCAUGUGCGUCCCUCCCGAAGCUGCACGCUCGGUCGAAGAGGACGACCUUCCCCGAUAGAGGCGUGUACCGUUCAUCGGUCAAGGGUAUACGGUAGCUGCGCUCCCCUGCUAGAACCUCCAAACAA
Molecule: small nuclear RNA, 163 nt
Filed under: Pterocles gutturalis (yellow-throated sandgrouse)
Lineage: Eukaryota; Metazoa; Chordata; Aves; Pterocliformes; Pteroclidae
Description: 7SK RNA
Rfam family: 7SK RNA
About the family: 7SK was discovered as an abundant small nuclear RNA in the mid-70s but a possible function has only recently been suggested.
Source: Rfam by way of RNAcentral